This 403-nucleotide ribosomal RNA is filed under the name Verrucomicrobiota bacterium. RNAcentral describes it as "Verrucomicrobia bacterium partial 16S ribosomal RNA". It matches the Rfam family "Bacterial small subunit ribosomal RNA", at positions 355 to 776 of the family's 1533-position model. The record is from RNAcentral. Lineage: Bacteria; Pseudomonadati; Verrucomicrobiota.
UGGGGAAUAUUGCACAAUGGGGGAAACCCUGAUCCAGCGACGCCGCGUGAGCGAAGAAGGCUUUCGAGUCGUAAAGCUCUGUCCUAUGAGAAGAUAAUGACGGUAUCAUAGGAGGAAGCCCUGGCUAAAUACGUGCCAGCAGCCGCGGUAAUACGUAUGGGGCGAGCGUUGUCCGGAAUCAUUGGGCGUAAAGGGUACGUAGGUGGUUUUUUAAGUCAGGUGUCAAAGCGUGGAGCUUAACUCCAUUAAGCACUUGAAACUGAAAGACUUGAGUGAAGGAGAGGAAAGUGGAAUUCCUAGUGUAGCGGUGAAAUGCGUAGAUAUUGGGAGGAAUACCGGUGGCGAAGGCGACUUUCUGGGCCAGAACUGACGCUGAGGAGCGAAAGCGAGGGGAGCGAACAGG